This is a long non-coding RNA of Musa acuminata AAA Group (dessert banana), 1044 nucleotides long. RefSeq lists it as uncharacterized. The record is from RefSeq and is a predicted model, not a curated record. The transcript has 2 exons. NCBI's taxonomy places the organism in Eukaryota, Viridiplantae, Streptophyta, Magnoliopsida, Zingiberales, Musaceae.
GCGGCCGUGGGCAGGAGAUACGACUGUGAUAAUAAUAAUAAUAAUAAUUACUUCUAUACAAAUAAAAGAAUGUGAGAAAUCCUAUAAAGAAAAUAGCAGAUUCUGGGGACUAAUGUGCAAAAACUCAAAAUUCCUCUCCCUCAACGUCGACAGUUCUUCUUUCCCCGUCCCCCGAUCACAAACCCUAACCCUAGAAAAGUUGGAUUGCGAUGGCCGAAUGGUGGAUGAGUGUCUUCUGCAUCGGCGACGGCGGAUUCAUCGUGUCUGUUCCAAUGACUCUUCCUUCGUGGUAUCCAUUUCUCCAAAAACAAAAACAAAAAAAAGCCUUCUCUAGUUCUUGAUGCUUGCGCUCUCUUUUGGCUCCGUCGUUUGGAUGUUCUUUUUCCAAGAAAACGUUGGACGUGGAAGAGCGGUGACCUGAUAUGUCAUAUAUCUGAUGAAUCAGCUAGCAGGGGAUGAAUUGCCUCCCAGAAGAUGUCUUCCAUAGAUUCUACAUGAGCAGAACAUGUACAUUGAAGAAGCCAAAGUCUUAAUGAGAAAGGCCGCACGAAGUGAUUUGGGCACAGAUGAUCUUUUGUUGCUUGCAAGUGAUGAUAGUGAAGAAGAGGGGAGAUUGAUGACAUGGAAUCCAGGCAUAUUCUGAUGGAAAGAUGCUGCAGGAGAUUUUGACCUCAACGAUCAUGAUGGAAUUGCUAAUUAGGAUAAUGUUGAUUUGCUUGGAAAGGAUAGUGAUGCAGAGACACAGCCAGACAGUAAAUUCACUUCACAUGGGUACGGUGGAAGAACAAAUGAUGGUAGCGUUGAUAUGUGGAAUAGUAAUUAUGAGGAAGGUGGUGACUGAUGAUCUUCGUGAUGUUAGUACUAAAGAAAAAAAGGAGAAAAACAAAAAUAUAUCUAAUUGAGCAUACUUAUCACGUGUGUGUGUGUGUGUUGAUAUUUUGUCUAUGUUUGACUGACGAUCUCCGUGAUGUUAGUACUAAAGAAAAAAAAGUGAAGAAAAACAAAAAUAUAUCUAAUUGAGCAUACUUGUCACGUGUGUGUUGA